UACGGAGGGUGCAAGCGUUGUCCGGAUUUAUUGGGUUUAAAGGGUGCGUAGGCGGCCCGUUAAGUCAGCGGUGAAAUCCCAGGGCUCAACCCCGGAACCGCCGUUGAUACUGGUCGGCUUGAGUAUGGACGAGGUUGGCGGAAUUGAGGGUGUAGCGGUGAAAUGCUUAGAUACCCUCAAGAACACCGAUUGCGUAGGCAGCUAACUAGGCCAUAACUGACGCUGAGGCACGAAAGCGUGGGGAGCAAACAGG
This 253-nucleotide ribosomal RNA is filed under the name uncultured bacterium. RNAcentral's name for it is "partial 16S ribosomal RNA". It matches the Rfam family "Bacterial small subunit ribosomal RNA", at positions 524 to 776 of the family's 1533-position model. The record is from RNAcentral.